GUCGAGCGAUUUACUUCGGUAAAGAGCGGCGGACGGGUGAGUAACGCGUGGGUAACCUGCCCUGUACACACGGAUAACAUACCGAAAGGUAUGCUAAUACGAGAUAAAAUACUUUUAUCGCAUGGUAGAAGUAUCAAAGCUUUUGCGGUACAGGAUGGACCCGCGUCUGAUUAGCUAGUUGGUAAGGUAACGGCUUACCAAGGCGACGAUCAGUAGCCGACCUGAGAGGGUGAUCGGCCACAUUGGAACUGAGACACGGUCCAAACUCCUACGGGAGGCAGCAGUGGGGAAUAUUGCACAAUGGGCGAAAGCCUGAUGCAGCAACGCCGCGUGAGCGAUGAAGGCCUUCGGGUCGUAAAGCUCUGUCCUCAAGGAAGAUAAUGACGGUACUUGAGGAGGAAGCCCCGGCUAACUACGUGCCAGCAGCCGCGGUAAUACGUAGGGGGCUAGCGUUAUCCGGAAUUACUGGGCGUAAAGGGUGCGUAGGUGGUUUCUUAAGUCAGAGGUGAAAGGCUACGGCUCAACCGUAGUAAGCCUUUGAAACUGGGGAACUUGAGUGCAGGAGAGGAGAGUGGAAUUCCUAGUGUAGCGGUGAAAUGCGUAGAUAUUAGGAGGAACACCAGUUGCGAAGGCGGCUCUCUGGACUGUAACUGACACUGAGGCACGAAAGCGUGGGGAGCAAACAGGAUUAGAUACCCUGGUAGUCCACGCCGUAAACGAUGAGUACUAGCUGUCGGAGGUUACCCCCUUCGGUGGCGCAGCUAACGCAUUAAGUACUCCGCCUGGGAAGUACGCUCGCA
RNAcentral lists this ribosomal RNA (800 nucleotides) under uncultured bacterium. Its description in RNAcentral is "bacterial SSU rRNA". It matches the Rfam family "Bacterial small subunit ribosomal RNA", at positions 61 to 890 of the family's 1533-position model. The record is from RNAcentral.